GUCAAAAAUAGCUAUAUACUAAGCAUUUUUUAUUUGUUUUACUUUAUUUAAAGCCUAUUGUAUAUUAUCCCGAAGUUUCAUUCCAUAAAAAACAGAAAUAAGGAAAUUCGAUAUUUCGUGUACCAUCAGCAUCCAAAUUUUCAAGUAUACAGAAAUUUAACUUUCCGGAAUAUAACGGAAAUUUUCGGGUAUCUCCGUGGUACCAUCUCCGUGCAAUUAUGCAGUAUGGCGUUCAUCUCUUACGGAAAGAGAAUGGUAACUUGUUGCUGCUUGGGACAAUAAAGUUAAGUCAGCAACCGUCUACCAGACUGCAAGAUUCAUCUCUUCCAAAGGAUGUCGUACCUUUCCAGAUACACUGUGUGGAUAAGAAAUGCAGAGUGGUACCACCAAUCACCUAAGCCACCAUUCCCCUAACAGACAAUAGGCUCAUGGGGACAGUUCCUGCAAUUUACAGAAAAGCUCUCAAUUGUAGCCCUACGAACUUAAGAUACUGCCGAUGGUGAAGCUUGGGUGCACCGGGCCAGUUUUCCAGCCGUGUGGAAUCUCCAGCUGAACUGGGGCCGGGAAUUAUAUAAGACUCCUUAGCAGCAUG
This is a long non-coding RNA of Mya arenaria, 592 nucleotides long. RefSeq lists it as uncharacterized. NCBI's taxonomy places the organism in Eukaryota, Metazoa, Mollusca, Bivalvia, Myida, Myidae. The record is from RefSeq and is a predicted model, not a curated record. The transcript has 4 exons.